This 842-nucleotide long non-coding RNA is filed under the name Sus scrofa (pig). RNAcentral's name for it is "lncRNA (ENSSSCG00050046575.1)". The record is from RNAcentral. Lineage: Eukaryota; Metazoa; Chordata; Mammalia; Artiodactyla; Suidae.
AGAGCCUCCGGGGGGCGGAGCCCUGGCGGCACCCCCUCUUUCGCCCUGCCCUCCUUCUCCUUCCACCCACCCACCCCGACACCCCUUGUCCCUCCCCCAACCACUCUGAACGGAUAGACAGGGGGAGAUUCAUCUUCGUCGUCGCACCCAGCUGCUGCUACUGCCAGUGCCACGUGCCUUGCAAGGGCAAGGCGAUAUGGAAGCACAGGUUCCAUCCCUGGACUAGUGCAGUGGAUUAAGAAACUGGCAUUGGCACAACUAUGGGUGAAAGUAAAGUGCUACCUUCAGGGAGCACACCUCCCAAGAGAUGCGUGAAAUCAAUGAGAACUCCAAUGUCUAUUUGUCAGUAAAGAUGUGUGAAGUUCGAUGGCUCUUUUGGGACUGGACCACUAGUUAAAGAUUCUAAAGCCAAAUUAAGUGGCACAUAGAUGCUAAAACUCUCAAGAGACCUUUGAAGAAUGAAAUGUGAAAACGGAGACAAACUUAGAGAAUGGCUGCUGGCAUAGACCUGAGCUUCCCAAAGAAGAUGGAAAUGGAACAUCACACAAAUGAAAAAGACAGAAGAGAACAUUAACACUCUGUUGCCAAAAAGAAUAAGAAAAAAAGAUCGAAGAAGGACCUUUAAAAAUAUGUAAACAAAUAAAUGAAUGCAAUUUGAAAAGAAAUAUCCUUUUGAUAUUUUAAAAUACCGCUCUUUCAUAGCUACUGCCUGAUUGUCAAUCCUUUGAUGAGUACUCAUUUCAAAAUUAUUAUUAUUAUUAUUUGAAAGGUAAAUAUUUAAAUGUGAAUGUAAAUUAGGAAAAAUAUUUUCAAAUUACCAUAUUAAAUUUUAUUAAAUGCUU